This 4991-nucleotide unclassified non-coding RNA is filed under the name Neodiprion pinetum (white pine sawfly). Its description in RNAcentral is "nose resistant to fluoxetine protein 6-like, transcript variant X1". The record is from RNAcentral. Lineage: Eukaryota; Metazoa; Arthropoda; Insecta; Hymenoptera; Diprionidae.
GCUUUUGUCGAGAACGCGUGUAAAUUCACUCCAAGUUCGUAGCCCGCGAACGGAUUUCAACUUUUCAACUUUACUGCACUGAAGUUCUUUUUUGCCCUUGUUUUCAAAGUUUUUACUUUAGCGAUAAAUUUCAUCUGCGCUAUGAUUGGGACAGUUUUUAUGCUCUGCGUAUCGUUCGGUUUAACGAACUGUCAAGUUUUCGCCGAUAAUAAUAAGUUUUGCUACGCCAGUUACUCGGAGAGUCAAUUACGUUCAUCAAACACUCUCGGAACACAUCGGACAUCGCGGACCGAGAACCCCAUUUAUUCCCGAAGAGCAGUACCGGUCUCACGAGGUUCUUCAUGGUGGACCGACUUCCCCGUUCUGCCGUUGGUAUUCGCUAAUUCAAACACGAUUCCGAAGGGUCCUUGCAGGGAGCAGGUGCAACGGUACCUCAAGGGUCUUGCCAAUUCCACGCUGUGGGCCGUCCAGAUGUUCGACGCCUCAACGAAGUAUCCAAACGGCGUGCUCCACGGUCAAACCAAACAUUUGGGAAGCUUUGACCAAUGCUACAACUUACGCGCUGUACUUCCACCGGAUGAAUUCUCUGACAUUGAAGAGCCUGACGAAGUCGAGGGUCGCUACUGUUUAGUUCGCUUGCGUUACCAGCGGAAAGAUGUGGUACCGAAACGCCCGCAAUCCUUCAACCUUGACUUCGAUCCAAACCUAUCCGUCUGGAACGCGAUUGAGUACAGGGGAGACUUUCGCCGUGUCAAACGACACUCUGUGUACCUGUCGCUUUGCGUUCCGGCUAGCUGCAGUUCUCAAGAUGUUACGACGGCGUUGACGGAGCCCUUGAAGGAGUUGGCGAACGCCCGACAGAUAGACCUGGACGUUACAGUAAAGCCUUCGCUUUGCCAGGCACGUAGUGACGUCCCUGAGGAUUUUACCGUAGGGUUAAAGGUUUUUCUUUUCAUCGUUGUGGCAUUGUUUGUCCUUGUGGUAGCGAGUUCAUGGUACGACAGCAGCGUCUAUUCUCCGGAGAAAGCGAUCAAGGGCAACGAACCCAGAGACCUUUUCCUAUGCUUCUCCGCACGGCGUAACUUGCGCUCGAUUUUUGACACUGGAAAUAUUCACCCUGGUCUCGAUUGCAUUCAUUUGAUCCGUUUUUUCUUAACGGCAUUCGCAAUAUUGGUUCACAGAUUGAUGCAGUACUAUGGCUACCCGCUCGUGGAAUCAACGUACCUCGAAAAGGCCUACACCGUACCCUUUUCCAUGAUAGUAUUCAACGGACCGAUCAUCGUUGACGGAUUCUUUGGUAUCGGAGGUCUUCUUUUGGCCUACGGUGUGCUCCAUGAACUUGAUCGGCGUAAGCGGUUGGAUUUUACCGCGCUUAUACUGAGCAGAUUUCUACGGUUGACACCACUCUACAUGCUGGUCGUCUUAUUCAAUGCUACCCUGAUGCCGAUGAUGGGAUCCGGUCCAUACUGGGAAUCCAGGGUGGGUUUUGAAAGAGAUAAUUGCGUGAAAAACUGGUGGACUAAUCUCUUGUACAUCAACAACUAUGUGCGUCCCAAUGAGAUGUGUAUGUUUCAAUCCUGGUAUUUAUCCGUGGAUUAUCACCUUUACAUCACGGGACUCUUUGUCUUAUGGGCUUAUUGGCAUCUUCCAAGAAGACUGGGCUACCCGUUCCUCUGUGGUUUGAUCGCACUGGGCACUGCCAUUCCCUUCGUCAUCACCUAUGUUCAGGACCAGCAGCCAAUAUUCCUGGGAUUGCCUUUCAUGGUGGAAGCUAGGAGAGAUCCAUAUUUCGUCGGUCACUAUGUUAAAUCACAUAUGAGAAUCGGUUCCUACAUGGUUGGCGUAUUGGCUGGGGCAAUUGUCUACGACCAUAAAAAUGCCACGUGGAGACUCCCCAAGGCUUGGUCACGAGUUCUUUUUAUUUUACUGGCCGUCGGAUUCCCUAUCAUCAGCCAGGCUCUGGCCGCCAAGUAUUUCGACCCCAAUAGCGAGCUACACCCACUUGAGACGGCGGCCUACGCUGGCUUCCACAGAACAGCGUAUGCUCUUGGAAUAUGUUCGAUCGUUGUUCUGAUCACAAUUGGCGAUGGUUUGGACUUUCAUUACAACUUUAUGACACCACGUUGGGUUCCGCCCCUUGCAAGACUCGCUUACGGUGCUUAUCUUCUCCACAAUAUUAAGCAAAUCUAUGACAUCGGUGCUACUAGAAGCCCCCGCGUAUUUUCCAUUAACAACUGCCUUUGGGAAUUCGUGUCAGACAUGGUCUACACUUUCGGUAUAUCCCUGCUGCUGUCGGUGGUUGUCGAAGGGCCGAUACGAAAGAUCGAAAAGUUCAUACUCACGAAACGACCAAGCAAAUGUCCCGCUGAAGGAUCAAAUCCCUACGGCAUCAAAAAGAUCAACUGAAAAUGACCCGAACGAAAUUAUGCGAAUUGUCUCCUUGUACAUUGUAUAAUAUAUGCAUAGGUAAACUCGUAGUCCGAACAUCGACGUUGUAGUACGAAUACUUGUAUAUACCCUAGUUUGUGAUUUUGCAUCAUGUUAUUAUUAUAUAUACAAUCGUUCAUCUCGAUUACCAUAGGAUUCAUAUAUUAUACAAAUGACACAAUGACAUACAAUUCUAGUGCUAUAUCCUGUAAUACAUGCGUACCCACAGGAUUUGGGGUUACCUAGAACGAGGAUGUGAUAUAAAAUUUCAUAAGCAAGUAAGUCGAUCGUAGCAAGCCAACACCGAGAAGGAUGAGUUAUAUAUCAACUAAAAUAAAUUUGUGGUUUGUACUUAACUUGCGCGCGUGUAAUUACACACUGAUCGUAUUUAUAAUUGUUAUCAAAUACCAAACUGACGGGGUUUCUCUCCGUAAAUUUAUAAAAGUAGUAUGAGUAAAUUUCAGGAGAAGAAUAAAAACCGGAAGGAUACACCCGUAACCUGACACAUGCAAACUCACCAACGUUGCUAACUAAUGAAGAAGUUACACGGAUAUUUCUGCUUCAUUCUGAAAAAAAAAAAAUAAUAAUAUUGAAUUUAUAGAACAAACGGAGUUAACAGGAUUCAAAAAUCAGGUAUAUCUGCGGAUAUUUAGUUCUUCAAUUUUUUAGGCACUGAUGUCGAUUUCCACGCAUAUUCACCGUAAGGAUGCGAAUUCCAAAUUUUCCACAUUAAUGGAGGGUUUACCUGGAAAGAGUACCUACAAAAAGUCCUGACCGUAGAAGCCUGCCAUUUUUUUACAAUGUUUUUCCGAUAGAACAUUAAACAAUGUGUAUUACAUGACGUAGGAAUUUUUAUUUGAAUAAAAUUUAUCAAAUUCUUAUCACAGUUCACUUUUAAUCCAUUGAAAGAAAAUAGUACAUUACGCAACAAGGGAAUAAUCGACUUUUAUUCACGUACCGCAGGACCCUUAUAGAACUUUAUUUCCGACUCAACUCUGGCUACAUUAUUGACUUGAUUAGUGGGACAUUUUUUGCAGUAUUGUGCGUAGAAUUCUUCUUCAAAUGGAUCAGACCUACGCUGUUCUAUCGUACAGCACGCCUGCCAAGAAUUUAGGAAACCGUUUACCGUUUACGAAAACUUAUUUUUUCAACAAUCAACGUUUACCGUAUCAUGCUGAUUCUUCAUUAUCUCGUCGAUAAUUCCAAACUUAUUAUUCACGUAAGAUAAUGCAAAACUGUGGAUGUUGUACGUGACAGUUAAUAACGCAACUUGCAAAUCUUUAUUUUACUAACGUCGUUUGCUUAUCUAAUAACCUUCGUUUGAUAAUUGUACCGCAGGUAUUUUUUCAGCUAGACCUCGACCGACGAUGGAAAAUCCCCUGCCUAGAGUGGCACCUCUCCACUGGAAUGGCAAUAGUUUUUUGGGUUCAAGAAGAACUUUCACCUGAACUCCCAGGCUUUCUGACACGAGGAAACUUCAACCUGUUGAUCUCGGUUGACUGACCAGAAUGAAAUCGUUAUCUGCCGAACUUGACUGCAAUUAUCACCGUAACAGUAAUUAUGGAACUAAUGCUGGCUAUCUUCUGAUGGUAAUGCGGAUGUGCUAAAUCUUAAAACACUUCGUGAUACACCAUCAAUUAUUCCGUCAUGGUUAUUUUCAAAGUUCUUUCAUCACUUCUACGAAUAGCACCUCUGUACACUCUGGACACGGCAGAAGCAAAAUGUUUGUCAAAAAGUUACGACCAUCGACAUAUAACGGCGAGAGACAUUGAGAAUUUGUUUAAAGCCAUUUCUGGACAUACCUGAGUGCGUGAAAAUUUAGGAACUACGUCUGGAUUAUCUAGAACGGUUGGAAGCAAGACAUUGUGUACAUUUUUACGACUACCUGAAACUGUUGGAAUAAAAAAUUAAGACGGCAAGUCAAGUAUUUUCAUAAUAGUUUGAUAGUGAAUUUAUUUAAAUCUACGGGUUCACAAUAUCGACAUGCUGAAUUCAUUAUAUGCUUAAUAUCUAAUGUGCUAAAUAUAAUAUAGGUUCUUAGUUAUUUAUUACAUUGAUUGAUGAGACAUAUUUCAAAAGUGUUUACCGAGGCUCAACGAUAUCAAGUCUGGUUUUCUAAUUUGAAAAACCGCGUCAGCUAAUGGUAUGAGUAUAAAAAAGAAAAACGAUAAAAAGGAGAAAAAACAACUAUCAAUACUACUGUUUCACGCAAAGUUGUGUUAGGCAAUUAACAGAAUCAUUUCUUACCGUGGAUAAAGAUUUAGAUAUAUGUAUAUUUAUAUUUCAAUGCAUAUGCAUACGCAUACGAGUAUAAUGGAUAGAUAUUUAUAUAAAUAUAAUCAUGAUAUAGCUCGUCAAGAUCUGUAUAUAAUUCUCUCGCCUACACUCUACACAAUCAACAGUCAGCGAAUAGUUCAUAAUCCGUACUAUCAUUACUUGUAAUAAUAUGAGAAUACCAAUUAUUCAUACAUACAGCAAUGAUCAGCCGUCUAGUGAGGAUUAUAUUAACAUCUUGCGUUCUGCCCUCCGCUAAGCGUUAGAUCAAGUCUCUGAAUAAUGCGUUA